Erigeron canadensis is the source of this 1491-nucleotide long non-coding RNA. RefSeq lists it as uncharacterized. The record is from RefSeq and is a predicted model, not a curated record. Lineage: Eukaryota; Viridiplantae; Streptophyta; Magnoliopsida; Asterales; Asteraceae. The transcript is spliced from 9 exons.
GAUCCCAACAGCAUGGAACAAACUCGCCCGAAGAAGGUGAAUGUCUUUGUAUGGCGAUUCUUUCGUGACAAAUUGCCUACUAUAGCCAACUUACUUCUUCGUCGACUUCAAUCUCCUUCCCUUGAUUCUACUCUAUGUGCAGUUGGCCAUACAAUACACCUGUUUGGGACUUGUAACUUCAAUAAUGAGGAGAGGAGCAAUUGUCACUAUGUUUGUUGUUUCUUAUGCUCUCACAUCAUUUCUCUCUGGUUAUGUGAGUGGUGGCAUGUAUUCUCACAAUGGCGGUAAGCCGGGAAACAUUGGAGAAAGUGCCUGAUUCUCACUGCAUCUCUUUUCCCAUUUUUGUGCUUUGGAAUUGGCUUUGUUCUGAAUACCAUCGCGAUAUUCAGUGGUUCUCUAGCAGCAAUUCCAUUUGGCACAAUGGUGAUAGUUCUCUUAUAUAUGGGGUGAUAUUCAAUGGUUUCUUUCCCCCUUAACCCUUGUUGCAUGAAGACCAUUGCUUGCCCUAUUCCUGAGAAGAAGUGGUAUCUUACACCAUCUGUGGUCUUGAUAAUGGGAGGACUACUACCUUUUGGUAUUAAGAUGUACUUAGUCCUCAUCCUUCUAGAAUGACAAGGUAUUGAAAGAGGCAUGGACAGACUUAAUGCACGACCCCAUCUCCACCAUAUAACGAUAGAAUUUAAUGUUGUAGUUAUAGAAGGAGUCGAGGACUCGGGGCUACAGGUUUUCCACGACAUCCAUAUCCAGCUCACCACUCUCAACUAUCAAUCCAUCCAUCCUCACCAACAAAACCUGUUCUCGUGGGUGACCAAGCGUGACGGUGGUGUUGUUACCGAAGGGGAGUAACGGCAGCGAAGGUAAUUGUUGGGGUAGUUAAAUCCGGCAGAAAAAUGCUACUGCUAUGGAUUCUUGAUAGAAAACACGUUGUUGCCCACGAGUCUCUCUUUAGUUUAUCCCUUCCCCCCUUCUUCUUUAUCUUCUUAUUUCGUGAAAGAAAAAUAUGAUACGGUGUGAUGGUCAUAGAGUUUCAAUUGUGGAAUCGAAGAAGAUUAGUUAACACGAAGCGAAAAGGGAAGUACGAUGCUUAUAAUGGGCAGAAUUUACGCUAGGUCGGUAUUUCAGUGAGAAGUUGGGGUUGUUUGGGAUUGCUGUCGCUUUAUAUCAUUCUUGGAAAAAGCAGUAUUUUCCAAAACCUAUAAGGAUGUCAGACACGAAAAAAUACUAAUAACUUGACUAGACUUGCUAAUAGAGAUUAUCUUGGUGGCAGAUUAUCUAGGUGUUCAAGACUGUUGGCUCAAUGAAGUUAUAGUAGGACUAAUUAAAAGCUCUAUAAGCACUCAAAACAAGAUCCUUAAGAUCUUAUUAUUAACAGGCAGUCUGUAGCUUUGAUGCAGAAUAGGAAUUAUCAUUUGCUCUAAUAUACACAAUAUUAUCCUGUACUAACAAUGUAAUAGAUAAUGCUUUUAAUCAAGUUUUUUUCAUGGCUGCGAA